CAAAAUAUUUUGAAGGAGACAUGCUCGUCGUACUUAUUCUUAAGAGAGCUGAUGGUUGGUGCAAAUCAGUGAAGAAGGCGAAUGUAGUUCCACUCCUGAAUAGAUAAGUGGAAAAUUAUAGUAAACUUAUCCGUAUCAUGCGCGUUACGCAUCUUAAAGAUUGCAAUUAUAAUUUUCGGAAUAUUUUUGCAAUGAAUAAGGGUGGUACCGCGUAACUAUGUUCAUUAUAGCCUUUCGCCCCUUAC
This 245-nucleotide non-coding RNA is filed under the name Bacillus sp. (in: firmicutes). RNAcentral describes it as "Bacillus sp. T-box sequence". It matches the Rfam family "T-box leader". Rfam says of the family: Uncharged tRNA acts as the effector for transcription antitermination of genes in the T-box leader family. T-boxes are found upstream of many aminoacyl-tRNA synthetase genes and some amino acid biosynthetic genes usually in Gram-positive bacteria. Lineage: Bacteria; Bacillati; Bacillota; Bacilli; Caryophanales; Bacillaceae. The record is from RNAcentral.